AAAAUAUAAAAGAUAAUGUGUAAAGAGUCGAGCAUAGGGUUUUAAAACAAUAGAAAACGAGCCGGGUCGGAUCUGGAAUGAAUCGGGUCAAUUCUGGGCCAAAAGUACGUCUGGGGAAGGGAUCGAUCGAUCCGGUGGGUGGAUCGAUCGAUCCCGAGUCACUGGAAACUGCUUCUUGUCUGUCAGAGGAUGGGAUCGAUCGAUCCACAAGUGGAUCGAUCGAUCUGGAUCUUCUGGUCUCCAACUCCGCAACUGCUUCAAAUGCUCGGCAGAAUGACCUGUCUUCACUACUUCGGGUAUAACUCUU
This 307-nucleotide long non-coding RNA is filed under the name Arabidopsis lyrata. RNAcentral describes it as "long non-coding RNA (ALYR_LNC003156)". Lineage: Eukaryota; Viridiplantae; Streptophyta; Magnoliopsida; Brassicales; Brassicaceae. The record is from RNAcentral.